UACGGGAGGCAGCAGUGGGGAAGUAUUGCACAAUGGGCGCAAGCCUGAUGCAGCCAUGCCGCGUGUAUGAAAAGGCCUUCGGGUUGUUAAAGUACUUUCAGUCGUGAGGAAGGUGUUAAGGUUAAUAACCUUAGCAAUUGACGUUAGCGACAGAAGAAGCACCGGCUAACUCCGUGCCAGCAGCCGCGGUAAUACGGAGGGUGCGAGCGUUAAUCGGAAUUACUGGGCGUAAAGGGCACGCAGGCGGUUUAAUUAAGUUUGGAUGUGAAAUCCCCCGGGCUUAACCUGGGAAUGGCAUUCAAGACUGGUUUAGCUAGAGUCUUGUAGAGGGGGUAGAAUUCCAUGUGUAGCGGUGAAAUGCGUAGAGAUGUGGAGGAAUACCGGUGGCGAAGGCGGGCCCCCUGGACAAAGACUGACGCUCAUGUGCGAAAGCGUGGGGAGCAAACAGGGAUUAGAU
Molecule: ribosomal RNA, 457 nt
Filed under: uncultured bacterium
Lineage: Bacteria
Description: bacterial SSU rRNA
Rfam family: Bacterial small subunit ribosomal RNA
Source: RNAcentral